RNAcentral lists this ribosomal RNA (253 nucleotides) under uncultured bacterium. Its description in RNAcentral is "partial 16S ribosomal RNA". It matches the Rfam family "Bacterial small subunit ribosomal RNA", at positions 524 to 776 of the family's 1533-position model. The record is from RNAcentral.
UACGGAGGGUGCAAGCGUUAUCCGGAAUUACUGGGUUUAAAGGGUGCGUAGGCGGCAACGUAAGUCAGAAGUGAAAUCUCUCGGCUUAACUGAGGAACUGCUUUUGAUACUGCGUAGCUUGAAUAAGGUUGAGGUCAGCGGAAUGUGGCAUGUAGCGGUGAAAUGCUUAGAUAUGCCAUAGAACACCAAUUGCGAAGGCAGCUGGCUAGACCUUUAUUGACGCUGAGGCACGAAAGCGUGGGGAGCGAACAGG